CCUACGGGAGGCAGCAGUGGGGAAUAUUGCACAAUGGGCGCAAGCCUGAUGCAGCGACGCCGCGUGGGGGAUGACGGCCUUCGGGUUGUAAACUCCUUUCGCCAAGGGCGAAGCGUUUUGUGACGGUACUUGGAGAAGAAGCACCGGCUAACUACGUGCCAGCAGCCGCGGUAAUACGUAGGGUGCGAGCGUUGUCCGGAAUUACUGGGCGUAAAGAGCUCGUAGGUGGUUUGUCGCGUCGUUUGUGGAAUACCGCAGCUUAACUGUGGGGUUGCAGGCGAUACGGGCAUAACUUGAGUGCUGUAGGGGAGACUGGAAUUCCUGGUGUAGCGGUGGAAUGCGCAGAUAUCAGGAGGAACACCGAUGGCGAAGGCAGGUCUCUGGGCAGUAACUGACGCUGAGGAGCGAAAGCAUGGGUAGCGAACAGGAUUAGAUACCCUGGUAGUCCAUGCCGUAAACGGUGGGCGCUAGGUGUGAGUCCCUUCCACGGGGUUCGUGCCGUAGCUAACGCAUUAAGCGCCCCGCCUGGGGAGUACGGCCGCAAGGCUAAAACUCAAAGGAAUUGACGGGGGCCCGCACAAGCGGCGGAGCAUGUGGAUUAAUUCGAUGCAACGCGAAGAACCUUACCUGGGCUUGACAUACACCAGAUGGCUGUAGAGAUACAGUGUCCCUUGUGGUUGGUGUACAGGUGGUGCAUGGCUGUCGUCAGCUCGUGUCGUGAGAUGUUGGGUUAAGUCCCGCAACGAGCGCAACCCUUGUCCUUAGUUGCUACGCAAGAGCACUCUAAGGAGACUGCCGGUGACAAACCGGAGGAAGGUGGGGAUGACGUCAAGUCCUCAUGGCCCUUAUGGGUAGGGCUUCACACGUCAUACAAUGGUCGGAACAGAGGGUUGCCAACCCGCGAGGGGGAGCUAAUCCCAGAAAACCGAUCGUAGUCCGGAUUGCACUCUGCAACUCGAGUGCAUGAAGCUGGAAUCGCUAGUAAUCGCGGAUCAGCAUGCCGCGG
RNAcentral lists this ribosomal RNA (1006 nucleotides) under uncultured Corynebacterium sp. Its description in RNAcentral is "bacterial SSU rRNA". It matches the Rfam family "Bacterial small subunit ribosomal RNA", at positions 338 to 1362 of the family's 1533-position model. Lineage: Bacteria; Bacillati; Actinomycetota; Actinomycetes; Mycobacteriales; Corynebacteriaceae. The record is from RNAcentral.